This 1297-nucleotide ribosomal RNA is filed under the name metagenome. Its description in RNAcentral is "bacterial LSU rRNA". It matches the Rfam family "Bacterial large subunit ribosomal RNA", at positions 1644 to 2925 of the family's 2925-position model. The record is from RNAcentral.
GUACUGCAAACCGACUCAGGUGGACGGGGUGAAUAUCCCAAGGCGCGUGAGAGAACCCUGGUUAAGGAACUCAGCAAAUUGACACCGUAACUUCGGGAGAAGGUGUGCCGCUGGCGGUUAGUGACUUCGCGUCACGAAGCUGUCGGUGGUCGCUGUGAAAUGGCGGUUGUGACUGUUUACUAAAAACACAGGACUCUGCGAAGUCGUAAGACGACGUAUAGGGUCUGAUGCCUGCCCGGUGCUGGAAGGUUAAGGGGAUAUGUCAGCGCAAGCGAAGCAUUGAACCGAAGCCCCAGUAAACGGCGGCCGUAACUAUAACGGUCCUAAGGUAGCGAAAUUCCUUGUCGGGUAAGUUCCGACCUGCACGAGGGCAUAACAACAUCCGCACUGUCUUGACCAGGGACUCAGCGAAAUUACAUUGGGGGUGAAGAUGCCCUCUACCCGCGGAAAGACGGAAAGACCCCAUGAACCUUUACUGCAACUUGGCAGUGAUUUUCGGGUUGUUCUGCGUAGGAUAGGUGGGAGGCUUUGAAGCCGGGCUUCCGGGUUCGGCAGAGCCAACGUUGAAAUACCACCCUGAAUAAUCUGGAAAUCUAACCUGCGCCCAUGAUCUGGGCGAGGGACACUGCCUGGUGGGCAGUUUGACUGGGGCGGUCGCCUCCUAAAUUGUAACGGAGGCGUGCGACGGUUCCCUCAGGCUGAUUGGAAACCAGCCGUAGAGUGCAAACGCAUAAGGGAGCUUUACUGCGAGACUGACAAGUCGAACAGUUGCGAAAGCAGGUGUUAGUGAUCCGGUGGUACCACAUGGAAGGGCCAUCGCUCAUCGGAUAAAAGGUACUCUGGGGAUAACAGGCUGAUCGCGCCUGAGAGUUCACAUCGGCGGCGCGGUUUGGCACCUCGAUGUCGGCUCAUCGCAUCCUGGGGCUGGAGCAGGUCCCAAGGGUUUGGCUGUUCGCCAAUUAAAGCGGUACGCGAGCUGGGUUUAAAACGUCGUGAGACAGUUUGGUCCCUAUCUUCCGUGGGCGCAGGACACUUGAGAGGAGCUAUCCAUAGUACGAGAGGACCUGGAUGGACGAACCUCUGGUGCUCCGGUUGUCACGCCAGUGGCAUAGCCGGGUAGCCAUGUUCGGAACAGAUAACCGCUGAAGGCAUAUAAGCGGGAAGCUGGCCUCAAGACUAGGUGUCCCUGACGCAAGUCACUAAAGGCCCCUCGAAGACUACGAGGUUGAUAGGCUCGGUGUGGAAGCGCUGCGAGGCGUGGAGCUAACGAGUACUAAUAGGCCGUGCGACUUGACCU